RNAcentral lists this ribosomal RNA (286 nucleotides) under uncultured bacterium. RNAcentral's name for it is "partial 16S ribosomal RNA". It matches the Rfam family "Bacterial small subunit ribosomal RNA", at positions 334 to 634 of the family's 1533-position model. The record is from RNAcentral.
CUUUCCUACGGGACGCAGCAGUGAGGAAUAUUGGGCAAUGGGCGCAAGCCUGACCCAGCAACGCCGCGUGAAGGAAGAAGGCUUUCGGGUUGUAAACUUCUUUUCUCAGGGACGAAGCAAGUGACGGUACCUGAGGAAUAAGCCACGGCUAACUACGUGCCAGCAGCCGCGGUAAUACGUAGGUGGCAAGCGUUAUCCGGAUUUACUGGGUGUAAAGGGCGUGUAGGCGGGGACGCAAGUCAGAUGUGAAAACCACGGGCUCAACCUGUGGCCUGCAUUUGAAACU